UUUUUGUGAUGAAAAACUCUUGUCCAGUUCUGCUACUGAAGGAGAGAGAUGAGACUUUUAGCACUGAAGAAG
Molecule: non-coding RNA, 72 nt
Organism: Erinaceus europaeus (western European hedgehog)
Lineage: Eukaryota; Metazoa; Chordata; Mammalia; Eulipotyphla; Erinaceidae
Source: Rfam